ACACGUAGGGGGCGAGCGUUGUCCGGAAUUACUGGGCGUAAAGGGCGCGUAGGCGGUAUUUUAAGUCAGAUGUGAAAACCUUGGGCUUAACCUGAGGAUGGCAUUUGAAACUGGGAUACUUGAGGGCAGGAGAGGAAAGCGGAAUUCCCAGUGUAGCGGUGAAAUGCGUAGAUAUUGGGAAGAACACCAGUGGCGAAGGCGGCUUUCUGGACUGAACCUGACGCUGAGGCGCGAAAGCCAGGGUAGCGAACGGGAUUAGAUACCCCGGUAGUCCUGGCCGUAAACGAUGGAUACUAGGUGUGGGAGGUAUCGACCCCUUCCGUGCCGCAGUUAACACAAUAAGUAUCCCGCCUGGGGAGUACGGCCGCAAGGCUGAA
This 377-nucleotide ribosomal RNA is filed under the name uncultured bacterium. Its description in RNAcentral is "bacterial SSU rRNA". It matches the Rfam family "Bacterial small subunit ribosomal RNA", at positions 523 to 898 of the family's 1533-position model. The record is from RNAcentral.